Clostridium sp. is the source of this 178-nucleotide regulatory RNA element. It matches the Rfam family "Lysine riboswitch aptamer". Rfam says of the family: Riboswitches are metabolite binding domains within certain messenger RNAs that serve as precision sensors for their corresponding targets. The record is from Rfam. Lineage: Bacteria; Bacillati; Bacillota; Clostridia; Eubacteriales; Clostridiaceae.
ACGAAUUGUAGAGGUCGCGAUAAUAAUCAGUACCAAUAAUGAGUUAAGCAACGAAGAGUUAUUGGGAAAGGUAUUAUUGCCGAAGGAUAUAGCUGAUGCUUUAAGGCUAUGUACCUGGGGAUGUAUAUAAUAUAUGCAUAACUGUCACAAUAUUAAAUUGUGUUGAGCUACAUUUAAG